Parus major (Great Tit) is the source of this 427-nucleotide long non-coding RNA. RefSeq lists it as uncharacterized. NCBI's taxonomy places the organism in Eukaryota, Metazoa, Chordata, Aves, Passeriformes, Paridae. The transcript is spliced from 3 exons. The record is from RefSeq and is a predicted model, not a curated record.
UUCAUUUUUUAAUAAAUACUUUCACUCAUUUGUUAUUUUGUAGGUGUUUGUAUUACCUCUGCUUGAUACUUGUGCUGCCUCUGGAUGGGCAGCAAAACAUCCGAUGUGAACUUGGGAAGAAACUAAAAGGUGCUCGGGAGUAAAAGAAGACUGAAGAAUAUCUUCAAAGUACAUGGUGACCAGAGAAAUCCUCAGAACAGGGCUAAAUUCAGAUUUAAAUCAACUUCCCUGGGACCUUGUCCAGCUGAGGUUUCAAGACGUGCAGGAAUAAUGAAGAUUUCAUGGCCUCUCUGAUUCUGGACUUUGUGCAUGCUUGUGCAACUAGAAGAGCUGGAGCAAAAGAAUAUACCUGGUGUUCAGUGUUCAUUAAUUCCUCCAUGUGACCUGCAUGUGGGAACCAUGAAACUUACUUUUUAAAACUGAGAAA